GACGAACGCUGGCGGCGUGCUUAACACAUGCAAGUCGAACGGAAAGGCCCUGCUUUUGUGGGGUGCUCGAGUGGCGAACGGGUGAGUAACACGUGAGUAACCUGCCCUUGACUUUGGGAUAACUUCAGGAAACUGGGGCUAAUACCGGAUAGGAGCUCCUGCUGCAUGGUGGGGGUUGGAAAGUUUCGGCGGUUGGGGAUGGACUCGUGGCUUAUCAGCUUGUUGGUGGGGUAGUGGCUUACCAAGGCUUUGACGGGUAGCCGGCCUGAGAGGGUGACCGGCCACAUUGGGACUGAGAUACGGCCCAGACUCCUUCGGGCGGCAGCAGUGGGGAAUAUUACACAGUGGGCGGAUGCCUGUUGCAGCAGCGCCGCGUGCGGGAUGACGGCCUUCGCGUUGUAAACCGCUUUCGCCUGUGACGAAGCGUGAGUGACGGUAAUGGGUAAAGAAGCACCGGCUAACUACGUG
RNAcentral lists this ribosomal RNA (468 nucleotides) under uncultured bacterium. Its description in RNAcentral is "partial 16S ribosomal RNA". It matches the Rfam family "Bacterial small subunit ribosomal RNA", at positions 28 to 507 of the family's 1533-position model. The record is from RNAcentral.